Molecule: long non-coding RNA, 399 nt
Organism: Musa acuminata AAA Group (dessert banana)
Lineage: Eukaryota; Viridiplantae; Streptophyta; Magnoliopsida; Zingiberales; Musaceae
Exons: 2
Source: RefSeq, a predicted model, not a curated record
UUUUCAUACAAUUCAUAGGAAAUUGAAAUGCACUGUUGCUGGUAUCUCAUUUAAUCAUAUUUUCUAAGCAUCCCAACUAUAUUUAAGUUUGUCUCUGCAUAUUUUGGCAUAGGCUACCGAGACCCUGCAUUGGCUAGUGCCUCAUGGACCGGCCACCAUAUGAAGAUCAAUUAAUUAUUGUCUAUGGAACACAUUCAAAUAUGCAGUUGGACAGCAAGUUGGAGCAGAAUUUGUAAAAGGAGCUGAGAUUUGGAAUUAGAAAAGGUCUGUAUGAACAUUAAGUCAAUUAAAAUCCAUUACUUUUAGAAAAAACAAGUGGGAAAUCAUGGAAACCAAUAAAACUGUACCAUAACCUACUGAAAAUCUACCUACUUUAGUUUUGGUGGAACCGAUAGAAAA